CUCUUCUUGAAUAUAUUUUGAUGUAUGGCCUGCCCACUGAAUAUUGAAGGGCCGCGGUAUUUUGACCGUGCAAAGGUAGCAUAAUCAUUAGUCUUUUAAUUGUAGGCUGGAAUGAAUGGUUUGACGAGGUGUUAACUGUCUUUAAUUUUUUUUGUUGAAUUUAAAUUUUAGGUUAAAAUGCCUAAAUAUUUUUUUGGGACGAGAAGACCCUAUAGAGUUUUAUAUAUUUUUAUUUUUUUGUGUGUUAAUUUUUGAUGUAAAAAUUUAUUUUGUUGGGGUGAUGGGAAGAUUGAAUUAACUCUUUUUAUUUUAAUUAUAUUCAUUUAUAUGUAUUUGAUCCAUUUUUAUUGAUUAUAAGACUAAAUUACC
RNAcentral lists this ribosomal RNA (369 nucleotides) under Cryptocercus hirtus. Its description in RNAcentral is "partial 16S large subunit ribosomal RNA". The record is from RNAcentral. Lineage: Eukaryota; Metazoa; Arthropoda; Insecta; Blattodea; Cryptocercidae.